This is a non-coding RNA of Peromyscus maniculatus bairdii (prairie deer mouse), 926 nucleotides long. The record is from RefSeq and is a predicted model, not a curated record. NCBI's taxonomy places the organism in Eukaryota, Metazoa, Chordata, Mammalia, Rodentia, Cricetidae.
GUGAGUUCCAGUGACUAAAAUUCUGAAAUUGAACUCAGGUCGGCAGACUUGAUGAUGUCUUACUGACCCCCAUUAAAUUUUUUUUUUCUUUUUUUCUUUUUUUACAACGGUGUCUCUCUCUGUAGCUUGGAUUGCCCUGGAGCUCACCUAAGCUAGCCUCAAAUUUAUGUUAAUCCUCUUGCCUCAGCCUCUCAAGUGCUACUGGUGUAAGUCACCACACUUGGCUCCAAGCUGCUUCCUGGACGGCCCAGGUGAGGAAGCCCUGCAUCUCUGGGGCAGCUGUGGCAAGGCAGUAGGUAUAGGGCCGGUCAGGAGUUAACUUGACCAGAGGAGCUCCUGGCUCGUGUGGAGGAGAGGAGAUAGGAGCAGUUCUGCUAGGUCUCACACCUGUGCUUACCUCCACAGGAUCGGACACUGUGUGCUGGGGAGAAGCUCGGGUCCCCCGUGGCCUCUUCCGUGUGACGUGCCAGUCCUUGCUUCCUGCAAGCAUGGAGCUCAAGAGGAAGAAUAAGGAGCUAAAUGGCCUGGCUUCAUACCCUUGGGAUCUUCCUGGGACCUGUCUUCCUCAUCCUGUCCAGAUUGCUUGAUGGUUGCCUUCACCUUCCUCGGACUCCAUUUCACCCUUCAGCAGCCUGGCUUCUGGGAAGAGGAGGAGCAUGGGGACUGUGAAAUGACUUGAAGGGUUUGCCUUCGCUGUCCCUGAUGGAUGGGAGACAUAGUCUGGUAGCACCAUGCUUCAGUCUGUGACUGUGGAGCUAGCCUGCUUGACCUUGGGGCUGGAGAAAUGUUAAGAGUGUUUGCUGCUCUUCCAGAGAACCAGAAUUCAGUUCCCAGCAUCCAUACGAAGUGGUUCCAAGGAAUUCAACUCCUUUUUCUUAGCUUCCUCAAUCACCCACACACAUGUGACUUACACACACACACACACA